AAACCGCUUAGGGGUUAAGCCCGAUGAACCUGAAUAUCUGAAAUAAGAAAUUCAAUACUAUUUAGUAGCUUAGGCAAACAAUGGUAUGCACUUUUCUUAAAGUAAGACAUUGCAAUCCAUUAGUAUAUCUAUUUAUAGAUGGUUUAUCAAACGGCCCGUAUAGUUUGUUUAUUCUAUCUGUGACACUUGUUGUCAUAUGAAUAAUGCUAUUGCGGUGACCUGGUAAACAGCUGAUGGAGUUUAAAAAUCAUGCAAACAUGCAUAUGUAUCACGGUUUGUGUAUUUUUAAUAUAUAAAUAUAAGUGAUAGCAUGUAUUUGAUUAGCAAUGCGAUAGAUUUAGGAUACCUUCGGGACCCGUCUUGAAACACGGACCAAGAAGUCUAACAUGUAUGCGAGUCAUUGGGUAUUUGUUGAAACCUAAAGGCGUAAUUAAAAUAACUAUUUUAAUGGGAUUACAAGUGAUUUAAUAUAUUGCUUCUCCAUCCCGGGGCGUUCUAUACGAACAUGAUUUAAGAAAUUAGAUCCUCUGUUCAAGAGCGUACCUUGAGCAUACAUGCUGU
RNAcentral lists this ribosomal RNA (561 nucleotides) under Diadocidia globosa. RNAcentral's name for it is "eukaryotic LSU rRNA". It matches the Rfam family "Eukaryotic large subunit ribosomal RNA", at positions 402 to 812 of the family's 3401-position model. Lineage: Eukaryota; Metazoa; Arthropoda; Insecta; Diptera; Diadocidiidae. The record is from RNAcentral.